UGGGGAAUUUUGGACAAUGGGGGAAACCCUGAUCCAGCCAUCCCGCGUGUGCGAUGAAGGCCUUCGGGUUGUAAAGCACUUUUGGCAGGAAAGAAACGUCGCGGGUUAAUACCCCGCGAAACUGACGGUACCUGCAGAAUAAGCACCGGCUAACUACGUGCCAGCAGCCGCGGUAAUACGUAGGGUGCAAGCGUUAAUCGGAAUUACUGGGCGUAAAGCGUGCGCAGGCGGUUCGGAAAGAAAGAUGUGAAAUCCCAGAGCUUAACUUUGGAACUGCAUUUUUAACUACCGGGCUAGAGUGUGUCAGAGGGAGGUGGAAUUCCGCGUGUAGCAGUGAAAUGCGUAGAUAUGCGGAGGAACACCGAUGGCGAAGGCAGCCUCCUGGGAUAACACUGACGCUCAUGCACGAAAGCGUGGGGAGCAAACAGGAUUAGAUACCCUGGUAGUCCACGCCCUAAACGAUGUCAACUAGCUGUUGGGGCCUUCGGGCCUUGGUAGCGCAGCUAACGCGUGAAGUUGACCGCCUGGGGAGUACGGUCGCAAGAUUAAAACUUAAAGGAAUUGAACGGGGGUCAUAGCUGUUU
This 584-nucleotide ribosomal RNA is filed under the name uncultured bacterium. RNAcentral's name for it is "partial 16S ribosomal RNA". It matches the Rfam family "Bacterial small subunit ribosomal RNA", at positions 355 to 935 of the family's 1533-position model. The record is from RNAcentral.